This 483-nucleotide ribosomal RNA is filed under the name uncultured bacterium. RNAcentral describes it as "bacterial SSU rRNA". It matches the Rfam family "Bacterial small subunit ribosomal RNA", at positions 30 to 507 of the family's 1533-position model. The record is from RNAcentral.
AUUGAACGCUGGCGGAAUGCUUUACACAUGCAAGUCGAACGGCAGCACGGGGCAACCUGGUGGCGAGUGGCGAACGGGUGAGUAAUAUAUCGGAACGUGCCCAAAUCGUGGGGGGAUAACGUAGCGAAAGUUACGCUAAUACCGCAUACGAUCUACGGAUGAAAGCGGGGGAUCGCAAGACCUCGCGCGAAUGGAGCGGCCGAUAUCAGAUUAGGUAGUUGGUGGGGUAAAGGCUCACCAAGCCAACGAUCUGUAGCUGGUCUGAGAGGACGACCAGCCACACUGGAACUGAGACACGGUCCAGACUCCUACGGGAGGCAGCAGUGGGGAAUUUUGGUCAAUGGGCGGAAGCCUGAACCAGCCAUCCCGCGUGCAGGAAGACGGCCCUAUGGGGUUGUAAACUGCUUUUCCAGGGGGAGAAACUUUUCCGAUGCAUCGGGAUUUUGACGGUACCCUGGGGAAUAAGCAUCGGCUAACUCCGUG